UGUAAUAAAAAUAUUAACAGUAAGCAUUAUCUUAACAUCGGACUAACAGAAGACUGUGGAAUAACAUUUCAUGUUAACACCGCCUUUCUAUGCGAUUCUCAUGGGUUGCAGGUUCAAUGAUCUAUCCAUUUUACGAUAAUCGUAUCGAAAGUAGACCUAAAAAAUUAAGAAGACUAUACCAAAAAUAGGCAGAACAA
Molecule: long non-coding RNA, 197 nt
Organism: Drosophila pseudoobscura
Lineage: Eukaryota; Metazoa; Arthropoda; Insecta; Diptera; Drosophilidae
Exons: 2
Source: RefSeq, a predicted model, not a curated record